RNAcentral lists this ribosomal RNA (776 nucleotides) under Diaporthales sp. D1 MSB-2011. RNAcentral describes it as "eukaryotic LSU rRNA". The stretch from base 435 to 588 matches the Rfam family "5.8S ribosomal RNA". The record is from RNAcentral. Lineage: Eukaryota; Fungi; Ascomycota; Sordariomycetes; Diaporthales.
UUGUCUGUUUUCUUUUAUGUGUGUGAAUUAAUUUANAUGUUUUUNACCUCGGGUUUGUGCGGCGUUAAAAGCCGUGGUUAAUCUUUCCUGUCCGUGCCGUGUCCUCGCCCUNACGCGGUGCGAGCCGCCCCCCUCAUUCGCCCNGGUNCUGGGCGCCCCNNGGUCUACCUGUAGUUACCCGNCCUGCCCACAAUGUUUUUUUCCUGGGGGCGCCGGCGCCCCCAGAACCCCCGUAGUGAACCUGCGGAGGGAUCAUUGCUGGAACGCGCCACCAGGCGCACCCAGAAACCCUUUGUGAACUUAUACCUUACUGUUGCCUCGGCGCAGGCCGGCCCCUAUGGGGCCCCUCACCCCGGUGAGGAGCAGGCCCGCCGGCGGCCAAGUUAACUCUGUUUUUACGCUGAAACUCUGAGUACAAAACAUAAAUGAAUCAAAACUUUCAACAACGGAUCUCUUGGUUCUGGCAUCGAUGAAGAACGCAGCGAAAUGCGAUAAGUAAUGUGAAUUGCAGAAUUCAGUGAAUCAUCGAAUCUUUGAACGCACAUUGCGCCCUCUGGUAUUCCGGAGGGCAUGCCUGUUCGAGCGUCAUUUCAACCCUCAAGCCUGGCUUGGUGUUGGGGCACUGCCUCCUCGCGGGGGCAGGCCCUGAAAUACAGUGGCGAGCUCGCCAGGACUCCGAGCGCAGUAGUUAAACCCUCGCUCUGGAAGGCCUGGCGGUGCCCUGCCGUUAAACCCCAACUUCUGAAAAUUGACCUCGAUCAGUAGAAACCCGCUGA